ACCGCUGACCACCUCUUCUCAAGCACACAUGAGUUUUGCAUGAAUUUUUUUGCACUAUUCUAAUGGUUGUCACCCAAAUUUUUAAGAUGAGGAUAAAAUUUGGUUCAAAGUUCAAUUUAAAUUUGAUUUGAAUUGAUGAUAAAGAUCAAUCAACGUUUGAACUUGAAUCAAACUACCAAAUCAUUAUCCUUAUCUUUCAUGGGAUGCCACCUUAAGAAGGCUUGUUCUUGUGUACCCCAUUAGAUGAGCUUUUUGGUGUGAGAAACAUCAAAGGGGCAUGAAAAAUUUAAGAGGGGGUGGGAGUCCGUGCAUGAGAAAUUGAGGAAGAACUCUUCCUCUUGGGCGUGAGGUCUAGGGUAGGUUCUAAGGUUUCUGAUUGCUCUAGUUUUGUGUGAGAAAAUCACAAGAGUCUUGUCUUCUUUCUUCCACACCACCUCCUUUUCAAUGAGCUCUAUCUUCUGAUCUAGAGAUGUUCAGAUGAUCAUAAGGAAGGAGUCUUCACAAGCCAUUCAGAGCCUUCUACGUGAGCUAGCACUCCCAAGAAGGACGAUCUGUUUAGGGCUUUGAGUGGACUACUUGUAGAAGCCGGACAAUCUGUGCGGCUGCUCGAUAUCAGAUAGGAUCUCGCACCAUGUUCAUCAACAACAGCGAUCAUCGAUCUAUGAUAAGAUAAUGAGUUCUGAACAUAUUUGAUCAGAUCUAACAGCUAGAUCUGAUUCAGGACAUCAAUAUGAUCGAUGCAGUAUUUUUUUUAUAUUAGAUUUUUUUAUAUAAAUAUUUCAUAUCAUAGAUCCUUAAAAAGGUAGUUUAGAUCAGAUCUAAAGUAUGUGUAAGAGAUUGAAUUAUUUAAUCUACUAUUUUUGCUAUAAAAAUUUUAAAAAUAUAUGCUUUGAACUACCUUUUUUUUUUCAAAUGGUAUCAGAGCUUCAUUGCUCUUGAUAUGAAUGUUUUGCAUAUAAUCUGAUUAUAAUCUAAUUUUAAUUAUUUAGAUUAAAUUUAAAUAAUUAAUCAUAUAUCUAAGUAGUGUAGUAAUUGAAUUGGAUAGAUCACCAUGACCGUCCGAUCAUAAGAGAAAAUAAGGUUUCACGGUUCUCUCCUCCCAUUCGAUGGGGAUCUCCUAUAGUGUGUAGGGGUACUGCAUGGUUAUUUUCUAUGAAGAUGAACAAUAAAAGGAGCUUAAAAAAAAAUUUAGACCUGAUAUAAUGUAUGUUAGAUCUGAAAUUAAAGUUUAUUUAAUUGUAUAAUAGUUUAUGAAAAUAUUUUACAAAACUUGAAACUAUUUUCAAACAUCAAAUUACAACC
RNAcentral lists this long non-coding RNA (1302 nucleotides) under Elaeis guineensis (African oil palm). RNAcentral describes it as "long non-coding RNA (EGUI_LNC045027)". Lineage: Eukaryota; Viridiplantae; Streptophyta; Magnoliopsida; Arecales; Arecaceae. The record is from RNAcentral.